CAGAGUUAUCCAACUCCCAAACCCAUGUGAACUUAUCUCUUUGUUGCCUCGGCGCAAGCUACCCGGGACCCAGCGCCCCGGGCGGCCCGCCGGCGGACAAACCAAAACUCUUGUUAUCUUAGUUGAUUAUCUGAGCGUCUUAUUUAAUAAGUCAA
RNAcentral lists this unclassified non-coding RNA (155 nucleotides) under soil metagenome. RNAcentral's name for it is "partial internal transcribed spacer 1". The record is from RNAcentral.